Acanthosepion pharaonis is the source of this 109-nucleotide non-coding RNA. Lineage: Eukaryota; Metazoa; Mollusca; Cephalopoda; Sepiida; Sepiidae. The record is from the annotation of a GenBank genome assembly.
UUACGGUCAUAUCACAUUGAAACAUUGGUUCUCGGCUAAUCACCGGAGUUAAGCAACGUUGAGCCUGAUCAGUACUUAGAUGGGUGACCACUUGAGAAUACCAAGUGCU